GGGCGGUUGGGUGUGCUUUAGGGGUGAUGCCAAUCCCCUAACCAUCAAAAAAAAAUCGUUAGAAGUCGUCGUCGCCGUUGUCGUUGUCGUUGUCGUUGUUGUUCCUGCUGCUCUCUGGCCUCGUAUUUUGAUUGAUUUGAAUGUUACGUUGAGUGCGCUCUGGCUCUGGCUCUGGCUCUGCUCGGCUGAAUGUGUGACUGAUGAUUGAUGGACUUGGCCAGUACCCUGCACCCCAGCACCAGCCCUAACCCCCGGACGACCCUCCAAGAAACCAAAAAAAAAAAUUUAUUAAAUGCACAUACAAAUAUAUUUUCUUGUAGCCCAAAAAGGAAAAAAAUAUACUUCCGAUUUCCACGACAGAACAAAAAAAAAGAAAUGUAAUUUCCAGGGUCUGACAGGC
RNAcentral lists this long non-coding RNA (400 nucleotides) under Drosophila guanche. Lineage: Eukaryota; Metazoa; Arthropoda; Insecta; Diptera; Drosophilidae. The record is from RNAcentral.